AUUGAACGCUGGCGGCAUGCUUUACACAUGCAAGUCGAACGGUAACAGGUUAAGCUGACGAGUGGCGAACGGGUGAGUAAUGCAUCGGAACGUGCCCGGUCGUGGGGGAUAACGCAGCGAAAGCUGCGCUAAUACCGCAUACGAUCUGAGGAUGAAAGCGGGGGACCGUAAGGCCUCGCGCGAUCGGAGCGGCCGAUGUCAGAUUAGGUAGUUGGUGGGGUAAAGGCUCACCAAGCCAACGAUCUGUAGCUGGUCUGAGAGGACGACCAGCCACACUGGGACUGAGAAACGGCCCAGACUCCUACGGGAGGCAGCAGUGGGGAAUUUUGGACAAUGGGCGAAAGCCUGAUCCAGCAAUGCCGCGUGCAGGAAGAAGGCCUUCGGGUUGUAAACUGCUUUUGUACGGAGCGAAAAGGUCUCCUCUAAUACAGGGGGCUCAUGACGGUACCGUAAGAAUAAGCACCGGCUAACUACGUGCCAGCCGCCGCCGUAA
Molecule: ribosomal RNA, 493 nt
Filed under: uncultured bacterium
Lineage: Bacteria
Description: partial 16S ribosomal RNA
Rfam family: Bacterial small subunit ribosomal RNA
Source: RNAcentral